UGGCGAAAAAAAAAAAAAGCCCAAAAUCUGUUUCCUGCUUAUUCCCCCCGUCCUCCCCAACCAAAAAUCCCCAAAUCUCAAAUCCCUAAUUUUUUAAUCAAAAAUCCCCAUCUCUCUCUUUCGCGACUGUGAGCACGACAAACGAUGGAGUCGAGCGACGGGGUUAAGGAGCCUCACUCUUUUGUUUCUCACUACGUUGGCUUUCCCUUUGUUGCUCUCAUUCCAGUGGCGAAGGAGCUACUCAGGGACCACCGCAGCGAUUAAUAGCAGGCUCGAAGCUUUCAGCUUCAAGAACAUCGAUCCGCUUAGAUUCGCAUGAUUGAAGAGACUCUCCGAUUCGCUGGUGUUCCUGGACAUUCUUAUAUUUUGCAAUUGUUUUGUUGAAUCCACGAUGGAAUGCGAAGGUGAUUACAUCUGUGGCGGGUGGAUUUUUUACCAAGGCCAGUUACAAUUGUACUGAGGAAAUUUUGAGCUUUGCUAAGUUGUUCAACGAUGAACUCACACCGGAUAAUAUUAGCAGGCACAUGUACUGUUGAAGCAAAAGAACCUUGAGAAAGAAGAAGCUGUCCUCAUUAUGAAUGGUCAAAUUCGCGAAGAAAGGCAAGAAAAAACCAGGGAACUUUUGGAAGGGUCACAAGGAGUAAGCGACUCAAGGAUGUGACAGAUGUUGCCAGAUUUUGAGGAUGCUAACCAACUAGUUGGUGAUCGCUUGCAUGGGAUGUCGAAUGGUGUUAUGUCCCUUGCAUCUUUAUUUAGAGAAUCCAUGGUGAAAUUCUAUUUGUCUUUGAAAUCUCAAAGCCAAGUUCCACUAGUUGUAGUGAUUACCCUUGUUAUGAUUCUUCUGUUGAUGCAGCUAAGCAUAGUCAUGCUCCUAAGUAGACCUCAAGAAGUCCAAUUGAUUCCUCAACCCGAUUACAUGAGUACCAUGUGCAGUUUAAGCGAACGAAUGCCUGAAACGAUGGCUUGGAUGGAGAAGCGGAUUGACCAUCUCAAGGACGAAAUGCAUGUGAUCGAGACCUUGCUUAAAUUUCCUGAGUAGCAGUUUACUUCUUGUGGAAUGCGGGCGUGUAAAGAUUAUGACCAACUUUUAUUUUUGUAACCCACAGAAGAAUAAUGAUGAAAACUUUUCAUUUUGAUUUACGUUAUUUAGAUUUAUGAACAACAUUAUGUAUGUUUUAUGCGACAUUAUAUAGUGGGAUAAUUUUUAUUGUUAUGAAUUUUUAUUUAUGUAUUGUUAUGAAUUGAACAACAUUAUGAAUUUUCAUUAUCUGCCAA
Molecule: non-coding RNA, 1275 nt
Organism: Camellia sinensis
Lineage: Eukaryota; Viridiplantae; Streptophyta; Magnoliopsida; Ericales; Theaceae
Source: RefSeq, a predicted model, not a curated record